UGGCUGCAGUCGAGGAUCUUCGGCAAUGGGCGAAAGCCUGACCGAGCGACGCCGCGUGGACGAUGAAGGCCUUCGGGUUGUAAAGUCCUGUCGAGGGGGAUCAAGGCGCAAGCUUGAGUGAUCCCUGGAGGAAGCACGGGCUAAGUUCGUGCCAGCAGCCGCGGUAAGACGAACCGUGCAAACGUUAUUCGGAAUCACUGGGCAUAAAGGGCGCGUAGGCGGCUUCAUAAGUCAGGGGUGAAAUCCGGCAGCUCAACUGUCGCAGUGCCUUUGAUACUGUGAAGCUCGAGGGAUGUAGGGGUCUGUGGAACUUCCGGUGGAGCGGUGAAAUGCGUUGAUAUCGGAAGGAACGCCGGUGGCGAAAGCGACGGACUGGACAUUUUCUGACGCUGAGGCGCGAAAGCCAGGGGAGCAAACGGGAUUAGAUACCCCGGUAGUCCUGGCCCUAAACGAUGGGUACUAGAUUGCGGACUUACAUGGGUUCGCAGUCGAAGCUAAUGUUUUAAGUACCCCGCCUGGGGAGUAUGGUCGCAAGGCUGAAACUCAAAGGAAUUGACGGGGGCUCACACAA
This 571-nucleotide ribosomal RNA is filed under the name uncultured Planctomycetota bacterium. RNAcentral's name for it is "bacterial SSU rRNA". It matches the Rfam family "Bacterial small subunit ribosomal RNA", at positions 346 to 928 of the family's 1533-position model. Lineage: Bacteria; Pseudomonadati; Planctomycetota. The record is from RNAcentral.